RNAcentral lists this ribosomal RNA (253 nucleotides) under uncultured bacterium. RNAcentral describes it as "partial 16S ribosomal RNA". It matches the Rfam family "Bacterial small subunit ribosomal RNA", at positions 524 to 776 of the family's 1533-position model. The record is from RNAcentral.
UACGAAGGGGGCUAGCGUUGCUCGGAAUCACUGGGCGUAAAGGGUGCGUAGGCGGGUUUUUAAGUCAGAGGUGAAAUCCUGGAGCUCAACUCCAGAACUGCCUUUGAUACUGAAAGUCUUGAGUACGGGAGAGGUGAGUGGAACUGCGAGUGUAGAGGUGAAAUUCGUAGAUAUUCGCAAGAACACCGGUGGCGAAGGCGGCUCACUGGCCCGUAACUGACGCUGAGGCACGAAAGCGUGGGGAGCAAACAGG